UUGACAUCUGGCUGGUCCAGUUUGCUCCCGCUGGGCUCGACCCAAGGGGUAGGGUGUCAAGAGAGCGGGGCUCUCGGGAGAGCUGCGGCUCUCAGCUUCCGUUCAAGAAGGCGUGAACUUGCAGGGAAGCGUGGUGGAUUGUAAGCAACCAAAGGGAACGACUCGAGAGGCGAUCCAUAGGGGUUCAAAUAUAGAGGGAAAGGGCCCAUAAACAAGAGUGC
This 221-nucleotide long non-coding RNA is filed under the name Selaginella moellendorffii. Its description in RNAcentral is "long non-coding RNA (SMOE_LNC002303)". Lineage: Eukaryota; Viridiplantae; Streptophyta; Lycopodiopsida; Selaginellales; Selaginellaceae. The record is from RNAcentral.